AGGGGGUGUGAUCGCUCAGAGCGAACGCUGGCGGUUGGCCUAACACAUGCAAGUCGAACGAACUCUUCGGAGUUAGUGGCGGACGGGUGAGUAACACGUGGGAACGUGCCUUUAGGUUCGGAAUAACUCAGGGAAACUUGUGCUAAUACCGAAUGUGCCCCCCGAUUCAUUUUGGGGUGGGAAAGAUUUAUCGCCUUUAGAGCGGCCCGCGUCUGAUUAGCUAGUUGGUGAGGUAAAGGCUCACCAAGGCGACGAUCAGUAGCUGGUCUGAGAGGAUGAUCAGCCACAUUGGGACUGAGACACGGCCCAAACUCCUACGGGAGGCAGCAGUGGGGAAUCUUGCGCAAUGGGCGAAAGCCUGACGCAGCCAUGCCGCGUGAAUGAUGAAGGUCUUAGGAUUGUAAAAUUCUUUCACCGGGGACGAUAAUGACGGUACCCGGAGAAGAAGCCCCGGCUAACUUCGUGCCAGCAGCCGCGGUAAUACGAAGGGGGCUAGCGUUGCUCGGAAUUACUGGGCGUAAAGGGAGCGUAGGCGGACAUUUAAGUCAGGGGUGAAAUCCCGGGGCUCAACCUCGGAAUUGCCUUUGAUACUGGGUGUCUUGAGUAUGAGAGAGGUGUGUGGAACUCCGAGUGUAGAGGUGAAAUUCGUAGAUAUUCGGAAGAACACCAGUGGCGAAGGCGACACACUGGCUCAUUACUGACGCUGAGGCUCGAAAGCGUGGGGAGCAAACAGGAUUAGAUACCCUGGUAGUCCACGCCGUAAACGAUGAUUGCUAGUUGUCGGGAUGCAUGCAUUUCGGUGACGCAGCUAACGCAUAAGCAAUCCGCCUGGAGACGCCACUGA
RNAcentral lists this ribosomal RNA (844 nucleotides) under Brevundimonas sp. M_Sw_oHS_07/11_4_1(3). RNAcentral's name for it is "bacterial SSU rRNA". It matches the Rfam family "Bacterial small subunit ribosomal RNA", at positions 9 to 873 of the family's 1533-position model. The record is from RNAcentral. Lineage: Bacteria; Pseudomonadati; Pseudomonadota; Alphaproteobacteria; Caulobacterales; Caulobacteraceae.